GGAUGUGAGGGCGAUCUGGCUGCGCCAUGUCACCCCGCUGAUCUCCAGGGUUGAUUUGGCUAAUCUGGCUGGCUAGGCGGGUGUCCCCUUCCUCCCUCAACGAUCCAUGUGCGUCCCUCCUGAAGCUGCACAUUGAAAGAGGAUGACCACCCCUGAUAGAGGAGGACGGUCCCUCAGUCAAGGGUAUACAAGUAGCUGUACUCCCCUGCUAGAACCUCUAAACAAGCACUCGAGAAUAUCACAGCCAUCCUCAACAACAGUGAGGUCCCAAGCUCCUCCACUGAUAAAAACAGCUGAGUUC
Molecule: small nuclear RNA, 301 nt
Filed under: Octodon degus (degu)
Lineage: Eukaryota; Metazoa; Chordata; Mammalia; Rodentia; Octodontidae
Description: 7SK RNA (ENSODEG00000024497.1)
Rfam family: 7SK RNA
About the family: 7SK was discovered as an abundant small nuclear RNA in the mid-70s but a possible function has only recently been suggested.
Source: RNAcentral